Long non-coding RNA from Lampris incognitus (smalleye Pacific opah), 1018 nucleotides. RefSeq lists it as uncharacterized. The record is from RefSeq and is a predicted model, not a curated record. Lineage: Eukaryota; Metazoa; Chordata; Actinopteri; Lampriformes; Lampridae. The transcript has 3 exons.
AAAACCUCCCCCGACUGUCAACAGGACAAUAAUUUUGCUGGAUCACAGCACUGCCGAUAUUUCACUGUUAUUUCAGCAGCCUUCUAACCAGAGGAGGCUCUGGACGUCUGCCGUGGGUUGAGAGCUGAAUUCGGACGCCAGAAAGUCCUGCUUAUUCCUGCCAGAGCUGUUUGCCUGUGGAUGUGCGGACGAACUGCGGAAGUUCGGUUCGACUGUGAUCCCCCUUGGCGUCGUCGAGUUCUCGCCUCUUUUUAAAGUCACAAUCCAUAGUGUCAGCCGCCGCCGCACUACGUGGGUCAGCAAGUAACGGGACACCUCUCGCCACUGGGUCAACAUCGAGCAGUGGGCAGCUGCAGCACUCGGGGACCAACUCCAGUUCUUCUUUCUAUUGCCUUGCUCAGGGGCACAGACAGGAGUAUUAACCCUAACGUGCAUGUCUUUCUGAUGGUGGGAGGAAACCGGAGCACCCGGAGGAAACCCACGCAGACACGGGGAGAACAUGCAAACUCCACACAGAAAGGACCUGGGACGGCCUGGGGUUCGAACCCAGGACCUUGCUGUGAGGCAACAGUGCCUAACCACUGGGCCGCCGUGCUGCCCUUGAGAUAUGGGGAUGACAGGACAGACAUCAUUGUAUUACUCUUCUUGUUGUUCUGAUGCUUGUCCACUGAUACAGUGCUGCUGAGUCUGUGGUACUCUUACUAAUGUGACCUCAUGUGUGCCUUUUAUGUUGCACCUCAUGGGGCAGUACUAAUCGCCCUUUGGGGAUAAAUAAAGUUGAGGUUGAAGUGAGGCGGACAGCGGCUGUGUACAUCAAUUGCUGAUUGUACCUUUAAGUCAGAGGUUACGAAGACCAACCGAGGAACCACGUGGUCGAUAUCAUGGAGUUUUGUUUAAAAAUAUAACAGAUUUGAAUCUUCUAGAUUGGUUCCCAUGCUACUUCAUGCUGUGAGCCACCUGUGGGGGGUACUUUUUGAUCCAAGACCCAACAAAUAUUUUGUGUAGUAAAAUCAGUAAG